CUUCACCGAACCCAGCCACAACGGACGGUCCUCAGCCCGCUCCCGCCCGUAGGUGGCCAGCAGGGCACCGGCCUC
This is a non-coding RNA of Streptomyces sp. MP131-18, 75 nucleotides long. It matches the Rfam family "ASpks TB sRNA". Lineage: Bacteria; Bacillati; Actinomycetota; Actinomycetes; Kitasatosporales; Streptomycetaceae. The record is from Rfam.